RNAcentral lists this ribosomal RNA (809 nucleotides) under uncultured bacterium. RNAcentral's name for it is "bacterial SSU rRNA". It matches the Rfam family "Bacterial small subunit ribosomal RNA", at positions 1 to 804 of the family's 1533-position model. The record is from RNAcentral.
UAAAGUUUGAUCCUGGCUCAGGAUGAACGCUAGCUACAGGCUUAACACAUGCAAGUCGAGGGGCAGCGGGUUGAAAGCUUGCUUUCAAUGCCGGCGACCGGCGCACGGGUGAGUAACGCGUAUCCAACCUUCCCAUUACUGUGGGAUAACCUGCCGAAAGGCAGACUAAUACCGCAUAGUCUUCGAUGACGGCAUCAGAUUUGAAGUAAAGAUUUAUCGGUAAUGGAUGGGGAUGCGUCUGAUUUAGCUUGUUGGCGGGGUAACGGCCCACCAAGGCAACGAUCAGUAGGGGUUCUGAGAGGAAGGUCCCCCACAUUGGAACUGAGACACGGUCCAAACUCCUACGGGAGGCAGCAGUGAGGAAUAUUGGUCAAUGGACGGAAGUCUGAACCAGCCAAGUAGCGUGCAGGAUGACGGCCCUAUGGGUUGUAAACUGCUUUUGUAUGGGGAUAAAGUUAGGGACGUGUCCCUAUUUGCAGGUACCAUACGAAUAAGGACCGGCUAAUUCCGUGCCAGCAGCCGCGGUAAUACGGAAGGUCCAGGCGUUAUCCGGAUUUAUUGGGUUUAAAGGGAGCGUAGGCUGGAGAUUAAGUGUGUUGUGAAAUGUAGACGCUCAACGUCUGAAUUGCAGCGCAUACUGGUUUCCUUGAGUACGCACAACGUUGGCGGAAUUCGUCGUGUAGCGGUGAAAUGCUUAGAUAUGACGAAGAACUCCGAUUGCGAAGGCAGCUGACGGGAGCGCAACUGACGCUUAAGCUCGAAGGUGCGGGUAUCAAACAGGAUUAGAUACCCUGGUAGUCCGCACAGUA